Molecule: ribosomal RNA, 1548 nt
Filed under: Klebsiella pneumoniae
Lineage: Bacteria; Pseudomonadati; Pseudomonadota; Gammaproteobacteria; Enterobacterales; Enterobacteriaceae
Description: bacterial SSU rRNA
Rfam family: Bacterial small subunit ribosomal RNA
Source: RNAcentral
AAAUUGAAGAGUUUGAUCAUGGCUCAGAUUGAACGCUGGCGGCAGGCCUAACACAUGCAAGUCGAGCGGUAGCACAGAGAGCUUGCUCUCGGGUGACGAGCGGCGGACGGGUGAGUAAUGUCUGGGAAACUGCCUGAUGGAGGGGGAUAACUACUGGAAACGGUAGCUAAUACCGCAUAAUGUCGCAAGACCAAAGUGGGGGACCUUCGGGCCUCAUGCCAUCAGAUGUGCCCAGAUGGGAUUAGCUAGUAGGUGGGGUAACGGCUCACCUAGGCGACGAUCCCUAGCUGGUCUGAGAGGAUGACCAGCCACACUGGAACUGAGACACGGUCCAGACUCCUACGGGAGGCAGCAGUGGGGAAUAUUGCACAAUGGGCGCAAGCCUGAUGCAGCCAUGCCGCGUGUGUGAAGAAGGCCUUCGGGUUGUAAAGCACUUUCAGCGGGGAGGAAGGCGUUAAGGUUAAUAACCUUGGCGAUUGACGUUACCCGCAGAAGAAGCACCGGCUAACUCCGUGCCAGCAGCCGCGGUAAUACGGAGGGUGCAAGCGUUAAUCGGAAUUACUGGGCGUAAAGCGCACGCAGGCGGUCUGUCAAGUCGGAUGUGAAAUCCCCGGGCUCAACCUGGGAACUGCAUUCGAAACUGGCAGGCUAGAGUCUUGUAGAGGGGGUAGAAUUCCAGGUGUAGCGGUGAAAUGCGUAGAGAUCUGGAGGAAUACCGGUGGCGAAGGCGGCCCCUGGACAAAGACUGACGCUCAGGUGCGAAAGCGUGGGGAGCAAACAGGAUUAGAUACCCUGGUAGUCCACGCCGUAAACGAUGUCGAUUUGGAGGUUGUGCCCUUGAGGCGUGGCUUCCGGAGCUAACGCGUUAAAUCGACCGCCUGGGGAGUACGGCCGCAAGGUUAAAACUCAAAUGAAUUGACGGGGGCCCGCACAAGCGGUGGAGCAUGUGGUUUAAUUCGAUGCAACGCGAAGAACCUUACCUGGUCUUGACAUCCACAGAACUUAGCAGAGAUGCUUUGGUGCCUUCGGGAACUGUGAGACAGGUGCUGCAUGGCUGUCGUCAGCUCGUGUUGUGAAAUGUUGGGUUAAGUCCCGCAACGAGCGCAACCCUUAUCCUUUGUUGCCAGCGGUCCGGCCGGGAACUCAAAGGAGACUGCCAGUGAUAAACUGGAGGAAGGUGGGGAUGACGUCAAGUCAUCAUGGCCCUUACGACCAGGGCUACACACGUGCUACAAUGGCAUAUACAAAGAGAAGCGACCUCGCGAGAGCAAGCGGACCUCAUAAAGUAUGUCGUAGUCCGGAUUGGAGUCUGCAACUCGACUCCAUGAAGUCGGAAUCGCUAGUAAUCGUAGAUCAGAAUGCUACGGUGAAUACGUUCCCGGGCCUUGUACACACCGCCCGUCACACCAUGGGAGUGGGUUGCAAAAGAAGUAGGUAGCUUAACCUUCGGGAGGGCGCUUACCACUUUGUGAUUCAUGACUGGGGUGAAGUCGUAACAAGGUAACCGUAGGGGAACCUGCGGUUGGAUCACCUCCUUACCUUAAAGAA